This 404-nucleotide ribosomal RNA is filed under the name Actinomycetes bacterium. RNAcentral describes it as "Actinobacteria bacterium partial 16S ribosomal RNA". It matches the Rfam family "Bacterial small subunit ribosomal RNA", at positions 355 to 776 of the family's 1533-position model. The record is from RNAcentral. Lineage: Bacteria; Bacillati; Actinomycetota; Actinomycetes.
UGGGGAAUAUUGGACAAUGGGCGCAAGCCUGAUCCAGCCAUGCCGCGUGAGUGAUGAAGGCCCUAGGGUUGUAAAGCUCUUUCACCGGUGAAGAUAAUGACGGUAACCGGAGAGGAAGCCCCGGCUAACUUCGUGCCAGCAGCCGCGGUAAUACGAAGGGGGCUAGCGUUGUUCGGAUUUACUGGGCGUAAAGCGCACGUAGGCGGACUAUUAAGUCAGGGGUGAAAUCCCGGGGCUCAACCCCGGAACUGCCUUUGAUACUGGUAGUCUUGAGUUCGAGAGAGGUGAGUGGAAUUCCGAGUGUAGAGGUGAAAUUCGUAGAUAUUCGGAGGAACACCAGUGGCGAAGGCGGCUCACUGGCUCGAUACUGACGCUGAGGUGCGAAAGCGUGGGGAGCAAACAGG